GCAGCCUCUAGAGGCAUUGCAAGUAUGGUUAAUGGGUUACUGUGUUACAUGCAUGUCAGUAGAGGGGAAAGUCUAUGCCUAUACACAGUGCUCUGAACUAUGAACAUCUGAAUGAUUACUAGCCUAACACU
This is a small nucleolar RNA of Mastomys coucha (southern multimammate mouse), 131 nucleotides long. RefSeq annotates it as small nucleolar RNA SNORA17. The record is from RefSeq and is a predicted model, not a curated record. The transcript has a single exon. NCBI's taxonomy places the organism in Eukaryota, Metazoa, Chordata, Mammalia, Rodentia, Muridae.